This 488-nucleotide ribosomal RNA is filed under the name uncultured bacterium. RNAcentral describes it as "bacterial SSU rRNA". It matches the Rfam family "Bacterial small subunit ribosomal RNA", at positions 30 to 507 of the family's 1533-position model. The record is from RNAcentral.
AUUGAACGCUGGCGGCAUGCCUUACACCUGCAAGUCGAACGGCAGCACGGGAGCAAUCCUGGUGGCGAGUGGCGAACGGGUGAGUAAUAUAUCGGAACGUGCCCCGUUGUGGGGGAUAACGUAGAGAAAUUUACGCUAAUACCGCCUGAGAUUUACGGAUGAAAGCGGGGGACUUUGCAAAGAGCCUCGCGCGACUGGAGCGGCUGAUAUCAGAUUAGGUUGUUGGUGAGGUAAAAGCUCACCCAGCCGAUGAUCUGUAGCUGGUUUGAGAGAACGACCAGCCCCCCUGGGACUGAGACCCGGCCCCGACUCCUACGGGAGGCAGCCGUGGGGAAUUUUGGACAAUGGGCGAAAGCCUGAUCCCGCAAUGCCGCGUGCAGGAAGAAGGCCUUCGGGUUGUAAACUGCUUUUGUACGGAACGAAAAAGCUUUUUUUAAUAAAGAGAGCUCAUGACGGUACCGUAAGAAUAAGCCCCGGCUAACUACGUG